GCUGGCGGCAUGCUUAACACAUGCAAGUCGAACGGAAACGAUGGAAGCUUGCUUCCAGGCGUCGAGUGGCGGACGGGUGAGUAAUGCUUGGGAAUCUGCCUAAUAGUGGGGAACAACUCGGGGAAACUCGGGCUAAUACCGCAUAAUCUCUUCGGAGGAAAGGGGGCCUCUACAUGUAAGCUCUCGCUAAUAGAUGAGCCCAAGUCAGAUUAGCUUGUUGGUAAGGUAAUGGCUUACCAAGGCUACGAUCUGUAGCUGGUCUGAGAGGAUGAUCAGCCACACUGGGACUGAGACACGGCCCAGACUCCUACGGGAGGCAGCAGUGGGGAAUAUUGCACAAUGGGCGAAAGCCUGAUGCAGCAAUGCCGCGUGUGUGAAGAAGGCUCUAGGGUUGUAAAGCACUUUCAAUAAGGAAGAAAAGCAUAUGGUUAAUAACCUUAUGUAUUGACGUAACUUAUACAAGAAGCACCGGCUAAUUCCGUGCCAGCAGCCGCGGUAAUACGGAAGGUGCAAGCGUUAAUCGGAAUUACUGGGCGUAAAGCGCACGUAGGCUGUUAUUUAAGUCGGAUGUGAAAUCCUCGGGCUCAACCUGGGAACUGCAUCCGAAACUGAAUAACUAGAGUAUGGGAGAGGUAAGUAGAAUUUCCGGUGUAGCGGUGAAAUGCGUAGAUAUCGGAAGGAAUACCAGUGGCGAAGGCGGCUUACUGGACCAAUACUGACGCUGAGGUGCGAAAGCGUGGGGAGCGAACAGGAUUAGAUACCCUGGUAGUCCACGCCGUAAACGAUGAGAACUAGAUGUUGGGAGGGUUAGCCUCUCAGUGUCGCAGCUAACGCAUUAAGUUCUCCGCC
This 849-nucleotide ribosomal RNA is filed under the name uncultured Gammaproteobacteria bacterium. RNAcentral describes it as "bacterial SSU rRNA". It matches the Rfam family "Bacterial small subunit ribosomal RNA", at positions 35 to 873 of the family's 1533-position model. The record is from RNAcentral. Lineage: Bacteria; Pseudomonadati; Pseudomonadota; Gammaproteobacteria.